GCAAUUGGUUGCUCAUGAGUAUUUGUGUUUUGAAAAACAAGACUCUUCGUUGUGAAUUAUAGUAUAAAAUAUUAAUUCACAGCUUAGAAUACACUUAGUUGUGAGUUACAUAGCCAAUAAUCACUAGACACUAGUUAACAUUUCAAAAAAAAAAAAAUAAAUCACUACUCCCUUCGUCCCACUAUAAGUGAAUUGUAUUCCAUUUUGCGACGUCCCACUAUCAGCGAUCUGUUUCCACAAAUGGAAAAAUUUAAUCUUUAAAAAAAUAUAGGC
Molecule: long non-coding RNA, 273 nt
Filed under: Salvia miltiorrhiza (redroot sage)
Lineage: Eukaryota; Viridiplantae; Streptophyta; Magnoliopsida; Lamiales; Lamiaceae
Description: long non-coding RNA (SMIL_LNC011665)
Source: RNAcentral